GGAGACUUGGUAAUAACUUAUCAUGACGUCGGAGACGCCCUCGCACGCUCCAUAUGCGUGCGCUCCCCUGUUACCUACCUAGACCUUGACGAUGGUCGCUUUCCCGUUCUUCUUCUUCUUGACCUUGAGGCGGAUCUUACGGGCGCCGCCGUCGUCCGCUGGGCCAGCGGCGGCGGCGUUGUCCGCGGACGCGGCGAAGGACGUGGACGCUUCGUCCUCGGGCUUGGGCUCCUUGAGGCCCUUCAGGAGCAGCUCGGGCACCACCCAGUUGGACACGAAGUAGAAGAGCAGCAUCAGGGCACUGACCGGGACGAGCGAGGAGACGUCGCCGGUGUCGGCGGGCGAGCCGGGCACCAGCUUGGGGCUCAGGAUCUCGCUGAUGACCUCCGCCGAAGGCAGGGCCCGGAUCCUGCCGCCGGCGCGCGGCUGCCGGUGCCGCAGGCCCGCCGCUCCGACCCUCCGCCGCUGGCCAUGCGCGGGAGCAGCUGCUGCUGCUGCUGGGCGCUGCAGGGAGUGGGAGGUGAGCGCUGCCGUCUCCAUGGAUAAGAAAGGAGAUGUUUUUAGCUAGUGAGCAGUGAGCACUGAGCAGUGAGCCUGAGCGAGCACCGCAGCCUCUUGGACGGAUUAGAUAACGCAACGCGCCUUAUCUGCUACUGCGAAUGCUCUACGCGCCCGCCAUUCUUCUUUUUAUUUGGUGUUAAUUUCAAAGCCUGAACAAGCAUUUUCCGGCCCAGCUCCGAUCGGCACGUGGGCCAUUUCGAGCUAAAUCCCAGCUAGUAUCACUUGAAGCCAGU
RNAcentral lists this unclassified non-coding RNA (794 nucleotides) under Zea mays. Its description in RNAcentral is "misc RNA Zm00001eb265070". Lineage: Eukaryota; Viridiplantae; Streptophyta; Magnoliopsida; Poales; Poaceae. The record is from RNAcentral.